ACAUGCAGAGAACUUUACCAGAGAUGGAUUGGUGCCUUCGGGAACUCUGACACAGGUGCUGCAUGGCUGUCGUCAGCUCGUGUCGUGAGAUGUUGGGUUAAGUCCGUAACGAGCGCAACCCUUGUCCUUAGUUACCAGCACGUUAUGGUGGGCACUCUAAGGAGACUGCCGGUGACAAACCGGAGGAAGGUGGGGAGUGACGUCAAGUCAUCAUGGCCCUUACGGCCUGGGCUACACACGUGCUACAAUGGUCGGUACAAAGGGUUGCCAAGCCGCGAGGUGGAGCUAAUCCCAUAAAACCGAUCGUAGUCCGGAUCGCAGUCUGCAACUCGACUGCGUGAAGUCGGAAUCGCUAGUAAUCGUGAAUCAGAAUGUCACGGUGAAUACGUUCCCGGGCCUU
RNAcentral lists this ribosomal RNA (400 nucleotides) under uncultured Pseudomonas sp. Its description in RNAcentral is "bacterial SSU rRNA". It matches the Rfam family "Bacterial small subunit ribosomal RNA", at positions 984 to 1382 of the family's 1533-position model. The record is from RNAcentral. Lineage: Bacteria; Pseudomonadati; Pseudomonadota; Gammaproteobacteria; Pseudomonadales; Pseudomonadaceae.